UAUAAUUUUUAUGGUGUAAAUAUAUUUUAUGCAUGUGGAAAGGAUUAAGUCAGUUCCUAACUGUCCAACUUUAAACUAAGAAUCAUGAAUUUUAAACAGAAGAAGUUGGUCAUAGGAUUAUGAAAUUGAUUAAAUCUUAUAAACUAAUGCAUUACAGUAGGUAGGAGAAUUUGGAUUUUGGAUGGUUCAGGAGUCUAAUUGAGCUAUUCUUGACUUUCAGAAUUAGGGACAAACAGAACUAUUAUGGAUCGGCUUUGUGGUUCUGCAUCUCUCAUGAUAGUAUCAGAUCUUGAUUUUACAAUGGUAAGCUGUUGUCUUUUUAUUAGCUUACAUCAUACUCCCGAAUAUUAUUUGUGCUUGCUGGUAAUUGCAGGUUGACCAUCUUGAUCCAGAUAACCUCUCUCUUCUUAGAUUCAAUGCUCUAUGGGAAGCCUAUUACCGUCAAAAUUCUCUGCUUGUGUUUUCUAGUGGCAGGUCACCUACAAUUUAUAAACAGUUAAAGAAUGAGAAGCCCUUGUUGACCCCUGAUAUAACCAUAAUGUCUGUUGGAACUGAGAUUAUGUAUGGUGAGUCAAUGGCAAGAGAUGACGACUGGGAAAAAUACUUGAAUCACAGGUGGAACAGGGAAAUAGUCACAGAGGAAACAGCCAAGUUUCCUGAGCUUACUCCUCAGGCAGAAACAGAGCAAAGGCCUCACAAGUUAAGCUUUUUUGUGGAGAAGAUUAAAGCCUUGGAAGUUAUAGGGGCUCUCACAGAACUUUUAGAGAAACGUGGGCUGGAUGUGAAAGUGAUAUACAGUAAUGUGACGGCUUUGGAUAUAUUACCAAAACGUGCUGGCAAAGGACAGGCUCUUG
Molecule: unclassified non-coding RNA, 854 nt
Filed under: Hevea brasiliensis (rubber tree)
Lineage: Eukaryota; Viridiplantae; Streptophyta; Magnoliopsida; Malpighiales; Euphorbiaceae
Source: RNAcentral